GCGAGGGUGGCGGAAUUGGUAGACGCGCUAGCUUCAGGUGUUAGUGUUCUUACGGACGUGGGGGUUCAAGUCCCCCCCUUCGCA
Molecule: non-coding RNA, 84 nt
Organism: Xenorhabdus khoisanae
Lineage: Bacteria; Pseudomonadati; Pseudomonadota; Gammaproteobacteria; Enterobacterales; Morganellaceae
Source: Rfam